AAAUAUGUUAAAGACGAUGAGGUGCUCAUAUGCUGUGGCCAUAAAGCUGGAAUAGCAGUGUAGGUUAAUUAUCCCAUCUUCUGGUUUGCUGAUCAGUGGGUAAAGGCAUGCAGUUCAGAAAAUGGGAUGUAUGCAACAAACCUCAUCCCUAUUCCUGUACGCUCAGUCGUCAAAAUCAGAUGUCACCACUGGGAGGCAUCACUGGCAGGAGAGAGUUUCAGCCACUCUCAUGAGUUAGACUGGGGUUGGUGAAGAAGCCAGCUUGGUCUGGGAUGAGGAGGUGUUCCAGCUUGCCUGAACCAAAACUGACUUGGGGAAUUUUUGUAGGCAUUGCUUCACUAUCAAGAGAAAUAGCAGGGCAAAGUGGUUGAGAACUGUUGUCAUGGUUUUACUGUUGAUGCCUUGUGUGACCUCAUGGGUAGGUUGGCUUGUCCUUGUGCUCUCACUGGGUCCUCUGCAUGCUCAGCCCCUUUGGCUGAAGUGGAAGGGCUGUGCUAAAGUGUUUUAAGAGAGCUAAGACAGUGAGGGCUGUUGGUCUUUGCUGGGUCUGAAAAAUCAUGUUAGAGAUUAAUAGAGAUGAGGAGCUGCUCUACUUUGUCAACACGCAUGGUGCAUUGUCAAAUUUGUUUGCUGAUGUAAUGUCCAGGCUCAGGUAAAGAGUGGAUGAAAUCUCCUGUUGCCUUGUUACUUGCUAUUGCCCUCUGUUCGUGGUCAUCUGUGGUGGGAAGGACUUGCAAAAGGGAAAUACUUGUUUACACAAAACAAGUUGAGAUUCCUGCAAAUUUGAGGAACAACAUCUGCUGCUGAGACAAGGUGUGUCAAGCAGUCCCUGCCAGCCUGUAACAGCAGUUGGGCAGCCAGGGAACUUAUUCAGAGCUCUCGAGGACCACUCAAUUAUCAUUCAUUAACAAGUCUAAAGGUUAGCUCCUUGCCAGCCCUCUAUGUGCCAAACUCCUCCUGGGUGAUACGGCCAGCAAGGAGAGCUUGGGGGAUAGUGUUCCCAGUCCACAUUUGAACCAGUAACAAGUGCGGUUAUUGAUUUAGCUGUUAGCAUCAGCCAAAGUCUUUCACUUACUCGCUUGAGGGCUAUUUACUUGUCCUGCCCACUCCACCUCGUUGAGACGCCCUACUGUCCCAACUGACAGGGCUGAAACCAUGCUCGUGAGAAAUCUGCAGAGUCCAGCCUGCUAUUCUGGCCUGAAUUAGUAAUUGUGGAAGAUAAAACCAUCUGCUG
This 1234-nucleotide long non-coding RNA is filed under the name Anser brachyrhynchus (Pink-footed goose). RNAcentral describes it as "lncRNA (ENSABRG00000002861.1)". Lineage: Eukaryota; Metazoa; Chordata; Aves; Anseriformes; Anatidae. The record is from RNAcentral.